Malus domestica (apple) is the source of this 815-nucleotide long non-coding RNA. RefSeq lists it as uncharacterized. NCBI's taxonomy places the organism in Eukaryota, Viridiplantae, Streptophyta, Magnoliopsida, Rosales, Rosaceae. The record is from RefSeq and is a predicted model, not a curated record.
UGGGAACCUUGAACCCCGUAGACCUCUUUCUUCCCUCUCGCUCCUUCUUUCCCGCAAACACAUCUCCUCUAUGUUUCCCGUAUAAAUCUCUCUUCCCGUAGACUCAUCUCCUCCUCCCAUAGUCCUCAUCUCCUCUAUCUUUCCCUCUCGCUCUAUCUUUCCCGUUUGGGAACCUUGAACCCCGUUGACCUCUCUUCCCUGUCGCUCAUCUCUCCCUCUCUCUUUCCCGUAUCUCCCCUUCCCAUAGUCCUCAUCUCCUCUAUCUCUCCUCCUCGCAACCUUGAUCCCCAAAUCUUGAACCUAGACUUGUCUUCCCUCUCUCUUUCCCGUAUACCUCUCUCUUCCCUCUCGUUCUAAACGACGGGCAGCCACACGAAUCUCGAAGCCGACAAUAAUCAAGUCCCAAAAUCAAGAUACAUUGAAAGGCUAAUUUUAUGCAAAUUCAAUAUUAGACAAGCGUACAACAGACGAAUCUCUAAUUCAAAGUAUAUAGAUGUCGCGGUUGAUCACUCGUCGUAGGAGUGUGAUCAAUGCGCCUCCCGCAUUAUCACCAUCAACGUCAUCAGUGUCGGUUCAGUUGCUCAAUGCACGGUGGCCUCACUGGCGCUGCAGUGAUUCGGAGCCUUCUGUUCACAAUUCCUCGUCAUCCAGCCACUUCGUCCUCAAAGCUUGAUCCCCAAACCUUGAUCUUGCUCCACCUUCGACCUCCCAACCACUUCGUCCAGCUGAUACCUAGUAGUUUGACGUAUCAAACCUAGAAGACUACUUAUUGUAGUUUUUUUUUUUUUUUUUUUUUUCCGAACAUCUUGUAUGUA